UACGUAGGGUGCGAGCGUUAACCGGAAUUACUGGGCGUAAAGCGUGCGCAGGCGGUUCGUUGUGUCGGCGGUGAAAGCCCCGGGCUUAACCUGGGAAUGGCCGUUGAAACUGGCGAACUGGAGUGUGGCAGAGGGGGGUGGAAUUCCGCGUGUAGCAGUGAAAUGCGUAGAGAUGCGGAGGAACACCGAUGGCGAAGGCAGCCCCCUGGGCUAACACUGACGCUCAGGCACGAAAGCGUGGGGAGCAAACAGG
This 253-nucleotide ribosomal RNA is filed under the name uncultured bacterium. RNAcentral's name for it is "partial 16S ribosomal RNA". It matches the Rfam family "Bacterial small subunit ribosomal RNA", at positions 524 to 776 of the family's 1533-position model. The record is from RNAcentral.